Molecule: ribosomal RNA, 111 nt
Filed under: Phocaeicola vulgatus
Lineage: Bacteria; Pseudomonadati; Bacteroidota; Bacteroidia; Bacteroidales; Bacteroidaceae
Source: RNAcentral
UCAGGUGGCUAUAGCGCAAGGGUUCCACCUCUUCCCAUUCCGAACAGAGAAGUUAAGCCUUGUCACGCCGAUGGUACUGCGUCACAGUGGGAGAGUAGGUAGCCGCCGUUU